GUUGACCUCGGAUCAGGUAGGAAUACCCGCUGAACUUAAGCAUAUCAAUAAGCGGAGGAAAAGAAACCAACAGGGAUUGCCUCAGUAACGGCGAGUGAAGCGGCAACAGCUCAAAUUUGAAAUCUGCCCCCCCGGGCCGAGUUGUAAUUUGCAGAGGAUGCUUUUGGCGAGGUGCCUUCCGAGUUCCCUGGAACGGGACGCCAUAGAGGGUGAGAGCCCCGUCUGGUCGGACACCAAGCCUCUGUAAAGCUCCUUCGACGAGUCGAGUAGUUUGGGAAUGCUGCUCAAAAUGGGAGGUAUAUGUCUUCUAAAGCUAAAUACCGGCCAGAGACCGAUAGCGCACAAGUAGAGUGAUCGAAAGAUGAAAAGCACUUUGAAAAGAGAGUUAAAUAGCACGUGAAAUUGUUGAAAGGGAAGCGUUUAUGACCAGACUUGGCCCGGUUGAUCAUCCAGCGUUCUCGCUGGUGCACUCUGCCGGUCCAGGCCAGCAUCAGUUCGCUCCGGGGGAUAAAGGUUUCGGGAAUGUGGCUCCCUUCGGGGAGUGUUAUAGCCCGUUGCGUAAUACCCUGGGGUGGACUGAGGUCCGCGCUUCUGCAAGGAUGCUGGCGUAAUGGUCAUCAACGAC
This 625-nucleotide ribosomal RNA is filed under the name Striaticonidium cinctum. RNAcentral's name for it is "eukaryotic LSU rRNA". It matches the Rfam family "Eukaryotic large subunit ribosomal RNA", at positions 1 to 648 of the family's 3401-position model. Lineage: Eukaryota; Fungi; Ascomycota; Sordariomycetes; Hypocreales; Stachybotryaceae. The record is from RNAcentral.